Molecule: transfer RNA, 73 nt
Filed under: Paramuricea clavata
Lineage: Eukaryota; Metazoa; Cnidaria; Anthozoa; Malacalcyonacea; Plexauridae
Rfam family: tRNA
About the family: Transfer RNA (tRNA) molecules are approximately 80 nucleotides in length.
Source: Rfam by way of RNAcentral
GCCUCUGUGGCUCGGUUGGUUAGAGCGCUGCACCGGAAUCGCAGGGCCGUGGGUUCAAUUCCUACCAGAGGAC